Molecule: non-coding RNA, 23 nt
Filed under: Arabidopsis thaliana (thale cress)
Lineage: Eukaryota; Viridiplantae; Streptophyta; Magnoliopsida; Brassicales; Brassicaceae
Source: RNAcentral
GACCAUAGGCCGAGUGGUAUGGG